CUACAAUAUUGAUGGUGGAAUCGUUUGCCUAAAUGCAUGGAAACACCUACUCUAUUUGGAGAUGCGACUACAAUAAUGACUGGAAAUAUUCGGCUAGAUGUGUAUUUUUAUCUGGAGACGAGACAAUGAAAAUAUUUGGCUGGAUAUGCAUCUAAAGUGUAUAUGAAGAAAAUGAUUUUCAUCCAGGUUACAUGGAAAAUGGAUGUGGUUUUAUGGAGAAUAUAUCUGGAGAUGCGACUACAAUGAUGAUGGUGGAAUCGUUUGCCUAAAUGCAUGUAAAGACCUACUCUAUUUGGAGAUGCGACUACAAUAAUGAUGGUGGAAAUAUUCGGCUAGAUGUUUGGGUUUAUCUGGAGACGAGACAAUGAAAAUAUUUGGCUGGAAAUCCAUCUAAAGUGCAUAUGAAGAAAAGGAAUGGCAGAUAGGAAUUACUACUGAUUUCAUGUCUUCCUUCUACGAUAAACGUCAUGGCGAUUUAUCUGCUACUGUCAUAAUUGCAGCGUUCAGGUCAUCAACAUUUAUUUUUGUUCUAUUGACUGGUCUCGUAUCUUCGGUGCUUUUCAUUGCAAAUUUUAUUGUUAUCUAUAAGAUGUUUAUUAUAGAUAAAAUCUGUAUCAGAAAUUAUUUCUCUUGUUUUUGAAAAGUAAAUUAACUAUGUGAAAGUUUAUGAUUGAUAAAAAUACUAGGUUCAAAAAUUAGAUUUUGGCUUUAAUAUUUUAAAACUUUUGCUGGAAUUUAAGAUAUUCGAGAAAGUUUUAGUCUUAAUUUUUUUUACAAAGAUUUACUUUUUAAGCCUUUUGCGCAAACUUUCAAAAUUUCUA
Parasteatoda tepidariorum (common house spider) is the source of this 821-nucleotide non-coding RNA. The record is from RefSeq and is a predicted model, not a curated record. NCBI's taxonomy places the organism in Eukaryota, Metazoa, Arthropoda, Arachnida, Araneae, Theridiidae.